This is a long non-coding RNA of Oncorhynchus tshawytscha (Chinook salmon), 919 nucleotides long. The record is from Ensembl. Lineage: Eukaryota; Metazoa; Chordata; Actinopteri; Salmoniformes; Salmonidae.
GUUAUGUUGGUUAAUACCAAGGUGUUAUGUUGGUUAAUACCAAGGUGUUAUGUUGGUUAAUACCAAGGUGUUAUGUUGGUUGAAACCAAGGUGCUUUGUUGGGUGAAACCAAGGUGUUAUGUUGGUUAAUACCAAGGUGUUAUGUUGGUUAAUACCAAAGUGUUAUGUUGGUUGAAACCAAGGUGCUUUGUUGGGUGAAACCAAGGUGUUAUGUUGGUUAAUACCAAGGUGUUAUGUUGGUUGAUACCAAGGUGCUUUGUUGGGUGAAACCAAGGUGUUAUGUUGGUUGAUACCAAGGUGCUUUGUUGGUUGAAACCAAGGUGCUUUGUUGGUUGAAACCAAUGUGCUUUGUUGGGUGAAACCAAGGUGUUAUGUUGGUUAAUACCAAGGUGUUAUGUUGGUUGAUACCAAGGUGUUAUGUCGGUUGAUACCAAGGUGUUAUGUUGGUUAAUACCAAGGUGUUAUGUUGGUUAAUACCAAGGUGUUAUGUUGGUUAAUACCAAGGUGUUAUGUUGGUUAAUACCAAGGUGUUAUGUUGGUUAAUACCAAGGUGUUAUGUUGGUUAAAUACCAAGGUGUUAUGUUGGUUGAUACCAAGGUGUUAUGUUGGUUGAUACCAAGGUGCUUUGUUGGUUAAUACCAAGGUGCUAUGUUGGUUGAUACCAAGGUGCUUUGUUGGUUAAUACCAAGGUGUUAUGUUGGUUAAUACCAAGGUGUUAUGUUGGUUGAUACCAAGGUGUUAUGUUGGUUAAUACCAAGGUGUUAUGUUGGUUAAUACCAAGGUGUUAUGUUGGUUGAUACCAAGGUGUUAUGUUGGUUAAUACCAAGGUGUUAUGUUGGUUGAUACCAAGGUGUUAUGUUGGUUAAUACCAAGGUGUUAUGUUGGUUGAUACCAAGGUGUUAUGUUGGUUAAUACCAAG